This 253-nucleotide ribosomal RNA is filed under the name uncultured bacterium. RNAcentral describes it as "partial 16S ribosomal RNA". It matches the Rfam family "Bacterial small subunit ribosomal RNA", at positions 524 to 776 of the family's 1533-position model. The record is from RNAcentral.
UACGUAGGGUGCAAGCGUUGUCCGGAAUUAUUGGGCGUAAAGAGCUCGUAGGCGGCUGUUCAAGUCGAACGUGAAAACUCGGAGCUCAACUCCGAGCCUGCGUUCGAUACUGGACGGCUAGAGUCUGGUAGGGGGAUCUGGAAUUCCUGGUGUAGCGGUGGAAUGCGCAGAUAUCAGGAGGAACACCGAUGGCGAAGGCAGGUCUCUGGGCCACUACUGACGCUGAGAAGCGAAAGCGUGGGGAGCGAACAGG